RNAcentral lists this long non-coding RNA (426 nucleotides) under Bos taurus (domestic cattle). Its description in RNAcentral is "long non-coding RNA NONBTAT019184". The record is from RNAcentral. Lineage: Eukaryota; Metazoa; Chordata; Mammalia; Artiodactyla; Bovidae.
AGAUUUACCUAGUGUUGAAUGUAGUAAGACAUGCCUGCUGUUAAUAGCCUGAGUUUUAGAGCAUUCAAAAGGGAAUUAUGCUUACUUUGAAAAUCUGACUUCCCUUCCCUUCCUGAUGAAAUUUUUAGAGGUGUCUGCUACCCAUAUGUGUGUUUAAAACCAUUAUUUGUUACUAAUAUUUGAAAGCAAUUCUCUGAAAUAAUCAGUAAAUACAAGUGUGUAAAACUUAAUGAGAAAAAAAAAAAUUAAUGAGCCCCAUAUCCCAUAUAGUCUUCUACAAAAAAGAUACAGCUGUUUAGAAAAAAAAGAAGUUGCAUUCCUUCCUUAUUCCAAAGUUUUUGACACUUGAUAAUUCUUAAGUUACUGUUAACAGUUCAGACCCUAAAUACUUGAACAGCUAGUGACCAGGAUAACCAGAUUAUUAAC